GACGAACGCUGGCGGCGUGCUUAACACAUGCAAGUCGAACGAUGAAGCCGGAGCUUGCUCUGGUGAAUUAGUGGCGAACGGGUGAGUAACACGUGAGUAACCUGCCCUUGACUCUGGGAUAACUGCUCGAAAUGGUAGCUAAUACCGGAUACGACCCUCGGAGGCAUCUCCAGGGGGUGGAAAGAAUUUCGGUCAAGGAUGGACUCGCGGUCUAUCGGCUAGGUGGCGAGGUAGGGGCUCACCAAGGCGACGACGGGUAGCCGGACUGAGAGGGUGACCGGCCACACUGGGACUGAGACACGGCCCAGACUCCUACGGGAGGCAGCAGUGGGGAAUAUUGCACAAUGGGCGCAAGCCUGAUGCAGCAACGCCGCGUGAGGGAUGACGGCCUUCGGGUUGUAAACCUCUUUUAGUAGGGAAGAAGCGAAAGUGACGGUACCUCCAGAAAAAGCACCGGCUAACUACGUGCCAGCCGCCGCAGUAA
This 484-nucleotide ribosomal RNA is filed under the name uncultured bacterium. RNAcentral's name for it is "partial 16S ribosomal RNA". It matches the Rfam family "Bacterial small subunit ribosomal RNA", at positions 28 to 523 of the family's 1533-position model. The record is from RNAcentral.